UAUGUAUAGCUGUAUAAAAGUGAGAUAGUUUUCAGCAUUCUACACAGAACUUAAUCUGUUCUAUUUCACGACAAACACGAAAAAGAAGAAAAAUGACUCUCAAAUCCUGUCUCUGGUUUUUAGUGGCGGUUGCAGUUGUUGUUAAUACAACUUCAGCUUGCAACUAUCUUACAAUGAUGCCAUGCUUAGGGAUGAUGAAAGAUAAUCCAGGCAAUUUGGCUGAAGAAUGCAGAGUCGCUUCGCAGGUGAUCGAAUGUCUCCAAGGUUUGUCCUCAGAAUGUUCCGAAAAACCUGAGUAUGGUCAAAUGAUGUCGAAUCUCAAUAACUUGAUGAAAUUCCAAUGCAAAAUUUAGAUCUACACCGGUACAUCCUUCUGAGAAGACUGCAGAAUGUUUUCCUUUAUUUAAAUAAAAUGAAUAUUCUGGAUUGACAA
Magallana angulata is the source of this 433-nucleotide long non-coding RNA. RefSeq lists it as uncharacterized. The record is from RefSeq and is a predicted model, not a curated record. The transcript is spliced from 4 exons. NCBI's taxonomy places the organism in Eukaryota, Metazoa, Mollusca, Bivalvia, Ostreida, Ostreidae.